This is a long non-coding RNA of Solanum verrucosum, 490 nucleotides long. RefSeq lists it as uncharacterized. The record is from RefSeq and is a predicted model, not a curated record. Lineage: Eukaryota; Viridiplantae; Streptophyta; Magnoliopsida; Solanales; Solanaceae. The transcript has 3 exons.
GAGAAUCAAAUUCAAGCCACUAUUUUCAGUAUCGAUAUAGCAUAUUUUGAAAAAGAAUUUGCUCCUUUCAAGACUUACUUGGUAUCUGUUGCACAAGUGAAAUUACCACCUCUUGGAUACGAAAAUCCACUUAACAAAUUCAUUUGGACACUCGAUAAAAACACCAUUGUUGAACCAGUUGAAGAGGUCAAACCUCCAGAGGAUCCAUUACCACCACCAACACGACUAACUCUUACCACAUUUAACACUUUUGAGUAUCAAUCCAAAGAAUUUGAAUUUGAUGUACUUGCCACUGUCAUUAAUGGCAGUCCUUCAACAAAGACUGCAACUGGAAAAUGAAUUCAAGAGUUUAUUGUCAUGGACAAGCUGAAAAAACCAACAAAACUGACACUUUGGGAGGAUUUCAUUGAUCAUGAGGGAGUUAAAAUUUUCAACCAACUUCAUGAUUACCCGAUCAUUCUUGCUAGGAGAGUUGGGAAAUCAUCUUCAG